AUGCUUAUUCAAGCUACACAAAAAUUGACAGGCACAUUCUUGUUCUUCCAAGGAGAAGGCUGGCAGAAGCCAGCAGUAGCACCGAAAGUGUCUUUGGAGAAGUACUUACCUGCUGCAAAUGGCCUAAGUCAACAGGUUGCACUGGCUACCAGGAUGGUUAGCAAGAAGAAAGGCCAUGAUGGAGACUUUAUGCAGAUAUAUACCUAAUUUUUGGACUGUGUGCACAGAAAACUGUACAGGAUUUUGUAAACAAGCAAUUAAAAGCUGCUUGAAAACCUAUUCAUCUGCCAGAAGAAUUUAAUCUUGACUGCAGCAUUCAUAUGAUGCUAUCACUACAGCAACCAAGCCUGUAAACAAUACUUCUGGCCGUGGAUAACAUAUUAAUACUUGGUUUAGCAAUUAGAAACAAAAGCCUGUCAGACUUGUUCUUUCCUGCCAUUGUAGGCUUCCUGAUACAAAUGAUCUUUUAAGUGCUUUACUCUAAUUGGAGAAGAUUAAGCUGCAGUGCUCCAUCUAGUCAUCAGGGCUGCUUCUCCUUUAUGUUUCAUUAUUAUGGUCUGACCUGUUAUCCAUGCAUACCUGCCAGCACGAUGACAACAAUUUAUUAAUGCAUAUGGAUCCUGUUCCUUGUAAGACAAAAUUAUCAUUUAAUUCUGUACCUACGAAUUAAUAUCAAUCUUUUGACUUUCUCAUGAAAAGUUUCUACUGAAUUGUGCAAAACCUAGGUAAUAUAAUGUAGUACAGAAGUAUUUAAUUCACCUUGAAAGCCAGAUAAAUCUAAAGAGGUGAUUUUUGUAGAGCAAGAUUACUAAGUCCAAAACAAGAUUUCUAAGUCCAAAAUAACAUUUCUAAUCUGUGCUUUAUUACAUAAAACAAAAACUUGUUUUGACUUUGUCUCCUGCUGACAUUGAUAUUCCUGUGGCAGCUAUAUAGCACUGAUGAAAAAGCAUCAGGGAGGCCUUUUAAAAGUUUGAGGUCUAAUCUGCUGCCCUUAAAACUCGCAGCAGAACUCCUAGCAUGGGUGAAUUAUGUCAUUUAAUCUAACUUCACAUAUGCAUAGUGUAGAAAACUUUGCAGUUAAACAGGUCACCAUGAUGACACUUUAGAGUCAUUUAAUCUAACAUAGAAUGUCUGAAAUAAAAUCGCCUAUUAUUCUCCA
RNAcentral lists this long non-coding RNA (1159 nucleotides) under Numida meleagris (helmeted guineafowl). RNAcentral's name for it is "lncRNA (ENSNMEG00000004788.1)". Lineage: Eukaryota; Metazoa; Chordata; Aves; Galliformes; Numididae. The record is from RNAcentral.